Molecule: ribosomal RNA, 252 nt
Filed under: uncultured bacterium
Lineage: Bacteria
Description: partial 16S ribosomal RNA
Rfam family: Bacterial small subunit ribosomal RNA
Source: RNAcentral
ACGGAGGGUGCAAGCGUUAAUCGGAAUUACUGGGCGUAAAGCGCGCGUAGGCGGUUUGGUAAGCGGGGUGUGAAAUCCCCGGGCUCAACCUGGGAACUGCAUCCCGAACUGCCAGACUAGAGUACAGUAGAGGUGAGUGGAAUUUCCUGUGUAGCGGUGAAAUGCGUAGAUAUAGGAAGGAACAUCAGUGGCGAAGGCGACUCACUGGACUGAUACUGACGCUGAGGUGCGAAAGCGUGGGUAGCAAACAGG